ACUCAAAUGAAUAGACGGGGACCCGCACAAGCGGUGGAACAUGUGGUUUAAUUCGAGGCAACGCGAAGAACCUUACCAAGACUUGACUUGCUCUCUAUCGGGCCCCCAAAAGGGCCCUUCACUUCGGGUGGGAGAUGCACAGGUGCUGCAUGGCUGUCGUCAGCUCGUGUCGUGAGAUGUUGGGUUAAGUCCCGCAACGAGCGCAACCCUCAUCCUCUGUUGCUAACAGGUAAUGCUGAGAACUCUGAGGAAACUGCCGGUGAUAAGCCGGAGGAAGGUGGGGAUGACGUCAAGUCCUCAUGGCCCUUACGUCUUGGGCUACACACGUGUUACAAUGGUGGUGACAAUGAGCAGCUAACCCGCAAGGGCAUGCGAAUCUCAAAAAGCCACCUCAGUUUGGAUUGUACUCUGCAACUCGAGUACAUGAAAUUGGAAUCGCUAGUAAUCGUAGAUCAGCACGCUACGGUGAAUACGUUCCCGGGUCUUGUACACACCGCCCGU
This 501-nucleotide ribosomal RNA is filed under the name uncultured bacterium. Its description in RNAcentral is "partial 16S ribosomal RNA". It matches the Rfam family "Bacterial small subunit ribosomal RNA", at positions 899 to 1397 of the family's 1533-position model. The record is from RNAcentral.